This 73-nucleotide transfer RNA is filed under the name Thermoleophilia bacterium. RNAcentral's name for it is "tRNA-Trp". It matches the Rfam family "tRNA". From Rfam's summary of the family: Transfer RNA (tRNA) molecules are approximately 80 nucleotides in length. Lineage: Bacteria; Bacillati; Actinomycetota; Thermoleophilia. RNAcentral also lists the same sequence under 3 other names. The record is from RNAcentral.
AGGGGCGUGGCGCAAUUGGUAGCGCACCGGUCUCCAAAACCGGGGGUUGCAGGUUCGAGUCCUGCCGCCCCUG